AGGUAACCCCCAAAUCCUUCAUCUUUAAUUAUAUUAAUUAGCCAAUUAAUCAAAUAAUUAUUCCAUCAAUUAGCUAAUUAAACACAAAUCAUGAACCUAGCACACAAAUCCAUCCAAGUGGCCAGUCCAUCUCCUCCCAAGGUGGUCGGCCACUCCCCUAUAUAAACCCCCUCAUUCUCUCCAAAACAGAAUUCCAAUUCUCUUGCUAAAUUUUCUAAAUUCUCCAAACCCUUUUCCCUCAAAAUUCUAACUUUUGCAUCGGAGGUUCUUCGGCCAAAGCCCCCCCCCCCCAUUCAUCCUGGGCACAUGAGGCUCUUGGCCUUGACCUAAGUUAUUAUUUGUUUUGUAGGUGCAAUUUUGUCUAAGAGCAAGGAGGAAAAAAUUUGCAUCCACAAGUCACAUGUUUAGGUUUGUGGGUUAUGACAUGAAAAUUGGUUGCAUCAUGUUAUAUAUUUUUAUUUCUCCUCAUGAGAUUUGUUGAUGCACAUAUUUUGGACCCACAAAAGUUAAUCAAGGACUAAUCAUGGUACACAUUAUUUAAAAAUUUCAUGCUUAUUUGUCUCUUAAGUCUCGAACUUUGCUAUUGCGGUUUCUGUUUGGACCUUGUUGUGUUUAAAUUUAAUUCAUGAUAAAAUUGGACAAUAAAGUAGAUUUCCUUAUAUUUCUCUAGGCACCAUAAAUUAUGAAAAUAUGUUUAGAACUGAAUUUUGUAUUGUUUUAUAAGAUUUAUGAUAGAUGCACAAAAAUUUCUUCGGAGAUUAUGUGUCUUUAGUCAAGCUUGAUCAAUGACACAUUUAAUCCAUGAAAUGACUUUAUUUUUUGAUAUGUUGUAUGUAUAUGUGUCUUCUCUUACAAUGCAAAUUUUCGAGGUCAUUGGUUAUGUAUUUUAUUUGUUACAAAUUUUUUAAGUAACAUAUGCUCAGAACAAAGUCUCUGGUGUAAGUUUUUGGUUGAUUUAGUUUGCUUGCUAUUUUGAAUGUUAAUAGGACAUAAAAUGUUUUCAUAAUUUUUACUAUGAAUACUAAGUCCUUUUCGUUAUUGUUUUACCUUGGGUUAGUCAAUCUUAUAAAUUAAUUAUAUUAAAUCCCAGAGUAAGAGAGACUUAGGGCUGGUUUGGUAUUGCUGUGCUUUGAAAAAAAGCUGCUGUGAGAAUAAGCGGCUGUGCUG
This 1167-nucleotide long non-coding RNA is filed under the name Malus domestica (apple). RNAcentral describes it as "long non-coding RNA (MDOM_LNC005567)". Lineage: Eukaryota; Viridiplantae; Streptophyta; Magnoliopsida; Rosales; Rosaceae. The record is from RNAcentral.